GGGGCUGUAGCUCAGAGGGAGAGCAUCGCGCUGGCAGCGCGGGGGCCAAGGGUUCAAAUCCCUUCAGCUCCA
RNAcentral lists this transfer RNA (72 nucleotides) under Ardenticatenales bacterium. RNAcentral's name for it is "tRNA-Ala". It matches the Rfam family "tRNA". Rfam says of the family: Transfer RNA (tRNA) molecules are approximately 80 nucleotides in length. Their secondary structure includes four short double-helical elements and three loops (D, anti-codon, and T loops). Further hydrogen bonds mediate the characteristic L-shaped molecular structure. tRNAs have two regions of fundamental functional importance: the anti-codon, which is responsible for specific mRNA codon recognition, and the 3' end, to which the tRNAs corresponding amino acid is attached (by aminoacyl-tRNA synthetases). tRNAs cope with the degeneracy of the genetic code in two manners: having more than one tRNA (with a specific anti-codon) for a particular amino acid; and 'wobble' base-pairing, i.e. permitting non-standard base-pairing at the 3rd anti-codon position. Lineage: Bacteria; Bacillati; Chloroflexota; Ardenticatenia; Ardenticatenales. The record is from RNAcentral.